UCCAAUUGGAAGCCAAACAUGCGACAAAAUUAAGAAGGGAAUUAUUAUUUCCUUCAUGCCAAGCGGUGGCCGACUCUAGUUUAAACAAUUGGAAGCCAAAUCAGCAUUGAAGAGUUGAAUUAAAACUCUACUAAGCUAAAGCUAUUUUCAUGCGACGGGUAAGGCUAAGGAAAAGGGGGAUAAGAUUGAUUUUAAUUUUUGAAUUGAUUGGAGGUUAUUAUCCCAUAAAUAGAGAUGAUAGCAGCUGAAGAAAAGGGGAGAAGAGAAAAAAAUUCAGAGAAAGAACAGCAGCAUAGGAAAGGCGUGAUUCAAG
Molecule: long non-coding RNA, 313 nt
Filed under: Gossypium raimondii (Peruvian cotton)
Lineage: Eukaryota; Viridiplantae; Streptophyta; Magnoliopsida; Malvales; Malvaceae
Description: long non-coding RNA (GRAI_LNC008076)
Source: RNAcentral